Molecule: unclassified non-coding RNA, 378 nt
Filed under: plant metagenome
Description: partial contains 5.8S ribosomal RNA, internal transcribed spacer 2, and large subunit ribosomal RNA
Rfam family: 5.8S ribosomal RNA (bases 1-105)
Source: RNAcentral
GAAAUGCGAUAAGUAAUGUGAAUUGCAGAAUUCAGUGAAUCAUCGAAUCUUUGAACGCACCUUGCGCUCCUUGGUAUUCCUUGGAGCAUGCCUGUUUGAGAAUCAUGAAACCUUCAAAGUAAAUCUUUUGUUAACUCAAUUGGUUUCUACUUUGGUAUUGGAGGUCUUUGCAGCUUCACACCUGCUCCUCUUUGUUCAUUAGCUGGAUCUCAGUGUUAUGCUUGGUUCCACUCGGCGUGAUAAGUUAUCUAUCGCUGAGGACACUGUAAAAGGUGGCCAAGGUAAAUGCAGAUGAACCGCUUCUAAUAGUCCAUUGACUUGGACAAUACUUUUAUGAUCUGAUCUCAAAUCAGGUAGGACUACCCGCUGAACUUAAGC